GCACUGCUGAGGAGUCCCACAACAGGGCGGAACUGCCGUCCAGUGC
RNAcentral lists this non-coding RNA (46 nucleotides) under Schistosoma bovis. RNAcentral also lists the same sequence under 1 other name. The record is from RNAcentral. Lineage: Eukaryota; Metazoa; Platyhelminthes; Trematoda; Strigeidida; Schistosomatidae.